RNAcentral lists this ribosomal RNA (442 nucleotides) under uncultured Proteiniclasticum sp. RNAcentral's name for it is "bacterial SSU rRNA". It matches the Rfam family "Bacterial small subunit ribosomal RNA", at positions 337 to 796 of the family's 1533-position model. Lineage: Bacteria; Bacillati; Bacillota; Clostridia; Eubacteriales; Clostridiaceae. The record is from RNAcentral.
UCCUACGGGAGGCAGCAGUGGGGAAUAUUGCACAAUGGGCGAAAGCCUGAUGCAGCAACGCCGCGUGAGUGAUGAAGGCCUUCGGGUCGUAAAGCUCUUUGAUCAGGGAUGAUAAUGACAGUACCUGAAAAACAAGCCACGGCUAACUACGUGCCAGCAGCCGCGGUAAUACGUAGGUGGCGAGCGUUGUCCGGAAUUACUGGGCGUAAAGGAUGCGUAGGUGGAUAUUUAAGUGGGAUGUGAAAUCCCCGGGCUCAACCCGGGAACUGCAUUCCAAACUGGGUAUCUAGAGUGCAGGAGAGGAAAGCGGAAUUCCUAGUGUAGCGGUGAAAUGCGUAGAUAUUAGGAGGAACACCAGUGGCGAAGGCGGCUUUCUGGACUGUAACUGACACUGAGGCAUGAAAGCGUGGGUAGCAAACAGGAUUAGAUACCCGAGUAGUCU